CUUGACCGAUCCCAGCCACAGUGGCCGGUCAUCGGGCCGGUCCCGGCCGUAGGUGGCGAGCAGCGCAUGGGCUUC
Molecule: non-coding RNA, 75 nt
Organism: Streptomyces autolyticus
Lineage: Bacteria; Bacillati; Actinomycetota; Actinomycetes; Kitasatosporales; Streptomycetaceae
Source: Rfam